RNAcentral lists this ribosomal RNA (69 nucleotides) under Microcystis sp. F13. RNAcentral describes it as "partial 16S ribosomal RNA". It matches the Rfam family "Bacterial small subunit ribosomal RNA", at positions 1467 to 1533 of the family's 1533-position model. RNAcentral also lists the same sequence under 6 other names. Lineage: Bacteria; Bacillati; Cyanobacteriota; Cyanophyceae; Chroococcales; Microcystaceae. The record is from RNAcentral.
GCUAGUGACUGGGGUGAAGUCGUAACAAGGUAGCCGUACCGGAAGGUGUGGCUGGAUCACCUCCUUAAA